AGAGUUUGAUCAUGGCUCAGAGUGAACGCUAGCGGCGCGCCUAACACAUGCAAGUCGAGUGGGUUUAGACCCACGGCAAACGGCUGCGUAACACGUUGGAAUCUGCCCCGAACUCAGGGAUAUCCCUCCGAAAGGAGGAGUAAUACCGGAUGCCCUCGCAAGAGGAAAGAUUUAUCGGUUCGGGAGGAGCCUGCGGCCUAUCAGUUAGUUGGUGAGGUAACGGCUCACCAAGACGAUGACGGGUAGCUGGUCUGAGAGGACGACCAGCCAGAAUGGAACUGCGACACGGUCCAUACUCCUACGGGAGGCAGCAGUGAGGAAUCUUCCGCAAUGGACGAAAGUCUGACGGAGCGACGCCGCGUGGUGGAUGAAGGCCUUAACUGGUCGUAAACACCUGUUCUGAGGGACGAAAUUUUUGACGGUACCUCAGGAGAAAGUAUCGGCAAACCCUGUGCCAGCAGCCGCGGUAAUACAGGGGAUACAAGCGUUACUCGGAAUUACUGGGCGUAAAGCGUCUGUAGGUGUCCAAGAAAGUCUGGGGUAAAAACUCAGGGCUCAACCCUGAGAUCGUCUCGGAAACUCCUUGGAUUGAGCAGUGGAGAGGCAUCUGGAAUGCCGCAUGUAGGAGUAAAAUCCGUAGAUAUGCGGUAGAACGCCAAAAGCGAAGGCAGGAUGCUAGCCACUUGCUGACACUGAGAGACGAAAGCGUGGGGAGCAAAGGGGAUUAGAUACCCCCGUAGUCCACGCCCUAAACGAUGUGUGCUCGAUGUGGGAGGUUCUCAAUUGCCUUCCGUGUCCAAGCUAACGCGGUAAGCACACCGCCUGGG
RNAcentral lists this ribosomal RNA (827 nucleotides) under uncultured Methylothermus sp. RNAcentral's name for it is "bacterial SSU rRNA". It matches the Rfam family "Bacterial small subunit ribosomal RNA", at positions 8 to 877 of the family's 1533-position model. The record is from RNAcentral. Lineage: Bacteria; Pseudomonadati; Pseudomonadota; Gammaproteobacteria; Methylococcales; Methylothermaceae.